UUACUUUUGACAAAAGUAUUUACAGAAGCAGGGAACCUGAGCACAUAAGGAUUAGUUCCCUGUCAUCUCAACAAGGGUUGAAAUAUGAUUGAUAGAAUAUGUAUUUACUCUGCCUGUUCUGAUGCCGAUGUCACAAUACCCUGUCCUGUUCAAACCUGUGCUAAAGUGAAUCCACGAGUCAUGACUCUCCUUGUAUCCGUUUGAUCCUUUCAUCGGAACUGGAGCACAGGCUCCAUAUUUCUCCAUAUUUCAGUUCUUAGUCAGAGGGCUGGGGCCCACUGGGGGCCUCAGCAAACUGUCAGCAGGGCCUCAAUAUGACUGAAAAUAAGAUCACAUCACAUCAACUAUUAUCAUUAUUAUUAUUUUUUCUGUUGAAGAGCGGAAUUCCUACUGCCUAGAACAAAAGAACUAGGGCUCGUGCCCUAGUGAGAAAAGGACCAGUGAUGUACUUCUUUGAUUUCAAUAAAAUUAAAUGACAUUAGAAUAUAAAUUAUGUUUUCAUAUCUAUUCAUAUUAUCAACUGAUGCUCUAAAAGGAAAUUAGUUUGUUACAUUGAUUUUAUCUGCAAAAACUAGCAUAAAGAAGCAUAACCAGUACAGAUGUUUUUUGUUGUUUUUUAUUUUUUUAUUAAGAAUCAUAAAAUAUGAAAGUAAAAAAAAAAAAAAAAAAGUUUUUCUAGAGCAAUUCUAGCCUCAGAGUGAUUAUGAAUAAAACAAACAAAUGGGUGAUUGGUACUGGAGACAACCCAGAAGAAAGAUAUGUUGGGGAUGUCACUGGAAAUAUUUUGACAAUUCAUACUUAACACUGUACAGGUUUUCAACUCUUACAGAUAUUAAAACAAGUGCGAUUUAGGGCCAUAGGUUUAGUCUUGAGUAUCCUGUGUUUUCUGUAGUCAUUUUCUACUGCAAAACGACCCUAUCAGACGAAAGAAAGGAAGACCAGGUUUUUGCUGAACCAGUCAAAUGAAGGCUAGAUUCUGUUGUGAUCGUCAGACUUUAAAGAUGAGCAUCUGGCUGAUGAUGAUCUGGGUGUCUCACACUGUGGGAACAGCAACAAAGGCCUUUGUUGUAACACAGUGGCCGACAGUGGCUGAGGUGAUGGCUGGAGAAGAUGUCAUUUUAAACUGCAACAUUGCAGAGCUGUACUCCUCGUGUUCAACAGUGGCUUGGCUGAGGGUCAUUCCCGAGAACGCAACGAUCAGCCUGACCGACAGACUUCAGAUCGAUCCUCAUCACUUGUCCAGCCAGUGGACCAGUAUUUGUACUGCUGUUAUCACCAAUUCAACGGUGCAUGACUCCAGUAUGUACUACUGCGCAGCUGUGAAAAGCCGCUUUGCUCACAUCGGUAAUGGAUCCAGAGUCAUUGUGAAAGAACACACUGUGUUUCCUGUUAUUGAUAUUCUUACUCCGCUGAUCACAAACGGUCCUUUGGUCCCUCUUCAGUGUGUUGUGAACAUGGUCGAGACUUCUCAGGUUCAUAUGUUCUGGACUGUGGAGGGGAAAAAAGAGAAAGGACAGCCAGUUUUGACACAUGGGAAUGAUGGUGUCAUCCAGAUCACUAGGAGCCAGAUCCUGAUUACUGCUGACGAGUGGGAAAGGAAGGUGCAGUGUGUGUGUGUAGUGGAGUCUGGAGGACAGCUCUAUACCAAGACCCUUCAGCCACAUGAUGCACCAGAUGUGUGUUAUGCUGCAAAAUACAUAUAUCUGUCUGUCUGCUUAAUUUUCGGUAUCCUGCUUCUGGCAACAGUAAUUAUUUAUAGGUUGGGACGGAAAACCUUUUUGAUGAUAUGUCUAUGCAAAAACAUAUAGUUUCAAAGAGCUUUCAGUUUAUGUCCAUUAUUUUGCUUUAACACAUUUUUAUUCAUCAAACUUAUUUUGGUAUGUGCCAUUGCACAUCAGAUGAAAGAAGGCAACAGUUAGUAAUAUUUUGAUAUCUCUUCUCAAAAAGCAUGAGUAGUUCUGAUGUUUAUGUUCAGAUCGUUAUGGAUCUUUGAUGUUUUGAAUAGUGUUGUUUGUUUUGUGAAUUGAAAGGGUAAAUUUAUACUUUCAUCCAAUAUGUUCUGAACUUUGUUUAUUCCAAUAGAGUGAAUAAAAAACCUGAAUAAAAUAAACA
This is a long non-coding RNA of Cyprinus carpio (common carp), 2112 nucleotides long. The record is from Ensembl. Lineage: Eukaryota; Metazoa; Chordata; Actinopteri; Cypriniformes; Cyprinidae.